UUAUUUCAAGCUGGAGAUUGU
RNAcentral lists this non-coding RNA (21 nucleotides) under Arabidopsis thaliana (thale cress). Lineage: Eukaryota; Viridiplantae; Streptophyta; Magnoliopsida; Brassicales; Brassicaceae. The record is from RNAcentral.